RNAcentral lists this ribosomal RNA (492 nucleotides) under uncultured bacterium. Its description in RNAcentral is "partial 16S ribosomal RNA". It matches the Rfam family "Bacterial small subunit ribosomal RNA", at positions 30 to 507 of the family's 1533-position model. The record is from RNAcentral.
AGUGAACGCUGGCGGUAGGCCUAACACAUGCAAGUCGAACGGCAGCACAGUAAGAGCUUGCUCUUACGGGUGGCGAGUGGCGGACGGGUGAGGAAUACAUCGGAAUCUACUUUUUCGUGGGGGAUAACGUAGGGAAACUUACGCUAAUACCGCAUACGACCUACGGGUGAAAGCAGGGGAUCUUCGGACCUUGCGCGAUUGAAUGAGCCGAUGUCGGAUUAGCUAGUUGGCGGGGUAAAGGCCCACCAAGGCGACGAUCCGUAGCUGGUCUGAGGGGAUGGACACACAGAUUGUAAGAGAGGAAGGUCCGAGACACUGGCGGUGGGACGCAGUGCAGAAUCUUACGGAAUGGGGGAGAGCGGGAUCUAGGAAUAUCGGGGGGGUGCUGAAGCAGUUAGGCUGGGAAAGUCAUGUAGGUGGGAAAGAAAAAAAGCAGGUUAACACGGCGUUGUAAUGACGGUACCGAAAGAAUAAGCACCGGCUAACUCCGUG